UACGUAGGGGGCGAGCGUUGUCCGGAGUUACUGGGCGUAAAGGGCAUGCAGGCGGUCGGACGCGUUUUGUGUGACAGCGGGUGGCUCAACUACCCGGGCAUGCGAAAGACGGUCGGACUUGAGGACUCGAGAGGGACACGGAAUUCCGGGUGGAGUGGUGAAAUGCGUAGAGAUCCGGAGGAACACCGAAGGCGAAGGCAGUGUCCUGGCGAGUGACUGACGCUGAGGUGCGAAAGCCAGGGGAGCGAACGGG
Molecule: ribosomal RNA, 253 nt
Filed under: uncultured bacterium
Lineage: Bacteria
Description: partial 16S ribosomal RNA
Rfam family: Bacterial small subunit ribosomal RNA
Source: RNAcentral